GGACCUUGAUGCUGUGACAACGGCAUCUUCUUCCUCUGUCCUUUUUCUCUGCCUCUGUUCAGUGUUGUUAAAUCAUCACUUGCUUGCAUAAUUUGGAUUAUUAGAAUAAAUUUAAGUUUCAUAAAAGAAUAGUAGAAUGACACCACAUUUAAAUAUAUAUUAUAUAUUUAUCUACAUUUAUUUUAUUUUUAAGUAUGUUUACAAGCUUACCUGUUAAUGUAAUCAAUGUAUAGCGGAACUAUUGUUCUGAGGUGCAAGAGGUGACGUUUAUUGUUGUAGCACCAGCAUCGGAGCAUGCAGCGCAUGCGGAACCGCUCGUUGAGAUGUGCGGUAAUAUUACAUUUGUUAGUUCAACGAGAGACACACAGGAGAAAAGUUGCCUCUGUGUUACCUGUUUCACUCCCUGAAGUUAACGCGGCCAAUGAGUUGGACCUUGAUGCUGUGACAACGGAUGAGUCUUCUUCCUCUGUCCUUUUUCCCUGCCUCUGUUCAGUAUGUUCAGUGUUGUUAAAUCAUUUCUCUCUUUUUUUUAAUUAUUCUUACCGUUCUUAUUGUGUUCUUGUUAGUGUGAUAUUUGAAUAAACUUGCCUGUUGCAAUGUUGGUAUAAUGUUUGUAUAAUUAAGCAAUAGAUCACGCCAGGCUGUGGUAUGUGCUCAUUAUACCACUGUUAAGGGGCGUUGUCCGGCCCCGACGCGCAGCGGAGGGCCGGCGACCCCCUUCACAGUGGUAUAAUGAGCACAUGCCACUGACUGAAGGGAUCUAAUUGCUUUUAUACAACGGUUAGUGUUAUGGCGAAACGAAAGUCAUAGACACACUACAUUUAAAAAGAAACCAAGAAAGUCAAAAUAGCCGUUUUAUUAAAGAAUACAAAAAAGUAGUACCUCCUGGCUGCCGCUAUGCAUCGACGGUCGCUAUGCAACACACUUUAGCGUCCCUCCGAGAGAAGGCUCCGAUAGAGCGGUUCGCCGGCAAUUUAUCCUAUGGAGCAGUUCACUCGCCGUGUGCCU
Long non-coding RNA from Gadus macrocephalus (Pacific cod), 1008 nucleotides. RefSeq lists it as uncharacterized. The transcript has 2 exons. The record is from RefSeq and is a predicted model, not a curated record. NCBI's taxonomy places the organism in Eukaryota, Metazoa, Chordata, Actinopteri, Gadiformes, Gadidae.